This 762-nucleotide ribosomal RNA is filed under the name Austrochloritis sp. BR3. RNAcentral's name for it is "partial large subunit ribosomal RNA". The record is from RNAcentral. Lineage: Eukaryota; Metazoa; Mollusca; Gastropoda; Stylommatophora; Camaenidae.
UUAACUAUAUAUAUAGUAUUUGUGACACGAAGUUGAGGGAGCUAGUUAUUAUUAUUAAUAGAUCAGAAGAUGUUACAUAAUUAGCUAAAUAAUAAUUAGGAGUGAUAGGCUUGCCAAACUCAACGAUAACUUGAUGAUUAAGAAAUGUAUUAAUAUAAAAGCACUCAUGGAGUAAUAAGGUUUCAUGAGGAAAACUAACGUUUAAAUGUUAAAGACUAUCUUGUUUAAUCAUUAAUAGAUUAAUAAUAUAACAUUAAUUUCUAACGUUUGUUUAAGUUAUUAAUCUUUAACAUAAUUUAUCAGUUAUUAAUAAUGUUGAUAUUAGUAACAAAAAAGUAUUAAUAAUGAACUCGGCAAUAAGUUUUUCAACUGUUUAUCAAAAACAUAGCCAUAUGAUAUUAUAUGUGGUAAUUUCUGCUCAAUGAAUAAUUAAAUAGCCGCAGUACCUUGACUGUGCUAAGGUAGCGCAAUCAAUUGACUUUUGAAUGAAGUCUAGAAUGAAUGAAAUUAUGGGGAACUACUUUCUCAUUGAUAAUUUUUGAAUUUACUUAUUAAGUGCAAAUUCUUAUGUUUAAAAAAUAGACGAGAAGACCCUAGAAAUUUUGAGGAAUACUUUUUGUUGGGGCAACAAAGUAGCAAUAACUAAUCUACUAUAAAUUACAAGGAAGAAUUAUUUAGGCAGAUUAAAUUACUCUAGGGAUAACAGCAUAAUUUAUUAACGUUUGUGACCUCGAUGUUGGAUUAGGGAAUUAACGUUAGAAG